UUUUUUUUUUUUUUUUUUGGGGUGCUAAGGAGGAGCAAAAGUCAACAAGAGAACUACAUCAAGAUGCUCCUACUAUGAGCAAUAACACAAGAAUCAUGCAUGAGCCAACUGCCAAAACCUAAAGAAGAAGCUUCAAGCCGCAUGUUAUUAGACACCAGAUAGGUCAAACAAGAUCCUCAUUGUUAUCACUUAAUUCCAGGACUAACAAAAGUGGAUGACAUGAGCUGUGAUGUUUGAUGAAAAUAGAAAAAGCAACAGUAAUUGGAAGGGAGAAAAGGGAAGAAGAGGAUGAGAAGUCAUUUGUGAAACAAAUGCUCCAAAUGUAAUCAAAAUAGGAUAUGGAUUCCAUAAUGCCGCCUUCCAAAAGUGCAAAUUCAAAUUCAUAUUUUCCCAAUUACAAAUGAAAGUACAUUAUUGAAUAAUGACAUCUACCACAGGAAUGAAUUGCUCAAACAACAUUUACAUAGGUUAUGUCAAAAGCCCCAUUGUUCAAAACUUAACAACUAGGAAGUCUCAUUGUGUACAAAACUUACAGUGCUUUCUUCCACCCUUGGGAUGCGAUUGGUCAAAACGGCAAAAUGCAACAAAUAUGAUUGUGCAUCUACUGCUCAUGCUGGCUAAAUGCAAAUCUAAUAAAAGUGAACCAGCUUUCUCCAACAAGAUAAUUAAUGUGGCUUUUUACAGAAACGUUUAACACCAGCAUCUGAUAUGUCAAAUAAAUGUUUUGAAUUUACAUUAUUAAUUAUUUAAAAUGAAAUUUUGCUAGAAACAAAAUGAUGCUCCAUAGAUUGAAACAUUUGUAAUAUUAGAUGAAUUUUUGGUGGAGGCUACUAAUGCAUGAGAAUCUGCAACAUCAUAGCAUGAUAACCAGCUUCAUAAAUGCAUUUAUUUAUUUAUUCAAAAAGACUAGGAAUCAAUGUGUAUAAUAAACAAAACACAUAGAAUGGGCUAUAUUACUUAACUAACCCUUAAAUCCCAAAACAGUUGGGGCACAAAAUCAGAAUGAAAAGUAAGACAUAAUGCAAUUUUCCAAAAUCUUGAAGAAGAAGAAGUAACUUGCUUGUAUAUAAAAGGAUUUGAG
This 1081-nucleotide unclassified non-coding RNA is filed under the name Hevea brasiliensis (rubber tree). Lineage: Eukaryota; Viridiplantae; Streptophyta; Magnoliopsida; Malpighiales; Euphorbiaceae. The record is from RNAcentral.